RNAcentral lists this ribosomal RNA (1016 nucleotides) under uncultured bacterium. RNAcentral describes it as "bacterial SSU rRNA". It matches the Rfam family "Bacterial small subunit ribosomal RNA", at positions 357 to 1376 of the family's 1533-position model. The record is from RNAcentral.
AGGAAUAUUGGUCAAUGGGCGCAAGCCUGAACCAGCCAAGUAGCGUGAGGGAAGACUGCCCUAUGGGUUGUAAACCUCUUUUGUGCGGGGAUAAAGUGUGGGACGUGUCCCAUAUUGCAGGUACCGCACGAAUAAGGACCGGCUAAUUCCGUGCCAGCAGCCGCGGUAAUACGGAGGAUCCGAGCGUUAUCCGGAUUUAUUGGGUUUAAAGGGAGCGUAGGCGGGUUGUUAAGUCAGUUGUGAAAGUUUGCGGCUCAACCGUAAAAUUGCAGUUGAUACUGGCGACCUUGAGUGCAACAGAGGUAGGCGGAAUUCGUGGUGUAGCGGUGAAAUGCUUAGAUAUCACGAAGAACUCCGAUUGCGAAGGCAGCUUACUGGAUUGUAACUGACGCUGAUGCUCGAAAGUGUGGGUAUCAAACAGGAUUAGAUACCCUGGUAGUCCACACAGUAAACGAUGAAUACUCGCUGUUGGCGAUAUACGGUCAGCGGCCAAGCGAAAGCAUUAAGUAUUCCACCUGGGGAGUACGCCGGCAACGGUGAAACUCAAAGGAAUUGACGGGGGCCCGCACAAGCGGAGGAACAUGUGGUUUAAUUCGAUGAUACGCGAGGAACCUUACCCGGGCUUAAAUUGCAACUGACUGAACCGGAAACGGUUCUUUCUUCGGACAGUUGUGAAGGUGCUGCAUGGUUGUCGUCAGCUCGUGCCGUGAGGUGUCGGCUUAAGUGCCAUAACGAGCGCAACCCUUAUCGAUAGUUACUAGCAGGUCAUGCUGAGGACUCUAUUGAGACUGCCGUCGUAAGAUGUGAGGAAGGUGGGGAUGACGUCAAAUCAGCACGGCCCUUACGUCCGGGGCUACACACGUGUUACAAUGGGGGGUACAGAAGGCAGCUACACGGCGACGUGGUGCUAAUCCCGAAAGCCUCUCUCAGUUCGGAUUGGAGUCUGCAACCCGACUCCAUGAAGCUGGAUUCGCUAGUAAUCGCGCAUCAGCCACGGCGCGGUGAAUACGUUCCCG